This 431-nucleotide ribosomal RNA is filed under the name uncultured bacterium. Its description in RNAcentral is "partial 16S ribosomal RNA". It matches the Rfam family "Bacterial small subunit ribosomal RNA", at positions 29 to 505 of the family's 1533-position model. The record is from RNAcentral.
AGCGAACGCUGGCGGCAGGCCUAACACAUGCAAGUCGAACGAACUCUUCGGAGUUAGUGGCGGACGGGUGAGUAACACGUGGGAACGUGCCUUUAGGUUCGGAAUAACUCAGGGAAACUUGUGCUAAUACCGAAUGUGCCCUUCGGGGGAAAAAUUGAUCGCCUUUAGAGCGGCCCGCGUCUGAUUAGCUAGUUGGUGAGGUAAAGGCUCACCAAGGCGACGAUCAGUAGCUGGUCUGAGAGGAUGAUCAGCCACAUUGGGACUGAGACACGGCCCAAACUCCUACGGGAGGCAGCAGUGGGGAAUCGUGCGCAAUGGGCGAAAGCCUGACGCAGCCAUGCCGCGUGAAUGAUGAAGGUCUUAGGAUUGUAAAAUUCUUUCACCGGGGACGAUAAUGACGGUACCCGGAGAAGAAGCCCCGGCUAACUUCG